GGAACCCAAUUCAAUAUUUAGAUUCUGAUAUUAAGAGAAUAAUAUUUAUAAACACAGGGGCAGAUUCAAUAUUUGCAAAACAACAAAGGGUUUAUGGAGUUGUGGGGGUAUAAAACUGCAAUACAGCGUGGCGCACACAGCACAGUGUGUGGACACUUGCUUAUAUUAGAAUGUUUGUGGUCUUUUGGAUUACUGCUGUGUGGAGCGUCGAAACAGAGAGGGGGAAAAUAGAUCAAAAUCUUUUGAUGACAUAAGUGUAGUCUCUGUGCAUGUGAAGGAAACAGAUUUCUAAAAAGAGAUGGUUUUGAGAUCCUGCUUCGUGCUCAAGUGGAUGAUGACAUAGUUCUUUCCAGAUGUUGACAAUUCUUCUGACACCAAAACAUUCUGUAACUAGAAGUUCAAGGUAGCCAUCAGAUACUUUUGAGCCAAAGCUGUUAUUUUCACCUGAUUUAUUGCUGUUUGCCUCUGGAAUUGUAUUUAUACUAUCAUCCUUGACAAGUGAAUGCACCUCAGAUAAGCCAGACAGCCCUAAAAGAUGGUUAUUGUCCAGACCAUAGCAGACAUUCAAGUGUUCUGUACUUAAUGAAUUCAGUUGAUCUGAGCAAGUAUUUGUAAAGUUCCAGUUGUCAACAUCAUCUUCAGGCUCAUCCUAAAAAGGCAUAGAUGCCAGCUGUACUGUUGAGUUGGCAGAUUGAAAAGAAGUGAUGUUGGAAAAUAUAGGUGAACAUUCCUCCAAAAAAGGAAAUGAGCUUUUUGAAACAUCAGGAUUUGUUCUUCUUAGUGUCAACAGUUUUUUCUCUAGGAAUCAGCCUUGAAACUUCAGACCUAAAUUCAGUGUUAGUGCUUCUAGUAAAAAUGUCUAUGAGAGAAUUAACAACUUCAGCACUUUUUAGUGACAUUGGGAGAUCCAGUUCUAGUUGCUUGUUUUGAUUCAUUAAUAAGUACAUACAAGACAGUGCAGCUUCUUUAAAUACACUCAAGGAAGCAGUGCUUUGACAUAUUUCUUGGAUAUAUGCU
This is a long non-coding RNA of Biomphalaria glabrata, 1017 nucleotides long. RefSeq lists it as uncharacterized. NCBI's taxonomy places the organism in Eukaryota, Metazoa, Mollusca, Gastropoda, Planorbidae. The transcript is spliced from 6 exons. The record is from RefSeq and is a predicted model, not a curated record.